UUGAACUGAAGAGUUUGAUCCUGGCUCAGAUUGAACGCUGGCGGCAUGCCUUACACAUGCAAGUCGAACGGCAGCACGGGCUUCGGCCUGGUGGCGAGUGGCGAACGGGUGAGUAAUACAUCGGAACAUGUCCUGUAGUGGGGGAUAGCCCGGCGAAAGCCGGAUUAAUACCGCAUACGAUCCACGGAUGAAAGCGGGGGACCUUCGGGCCUCGCGCUAUAGGGUUGGCCGAUGGCUGAUUAGCUAGUUGGUGGGGUAAAGGCCUACCAAGGCGACGAUCAGUAGCUGGUCUGAGAGGACGACCAGCCACACUGGGACUGAGACACGGCCCAGACUCCUACGGGAGGCAGCAGUGGGGAAUUUUGGACAAUGGGGGCAACCCUGAUCCAGCAAUGCCGCGUGUGUGAAGAAGGCCUUCGGGUUGUAAAGCACUUUUGUCCGGAAAGAAAUCCUCUGCCCUAAUAUGGCGGGGGGAUGACGGUACCGGAAGAAUAAGCACCGGCUAACUACGUGCCAGCAGCCGCGGUAAUACGUAGGGUGCGAGCGUUAAUCGGAAUUACUGGGCGUAAAGCGUGCGCAGGCGGUU
RNAcentral lists this ribosomal RNA (586 nucleotides) under Burkholderia ubonensis. RNAcentral's name for it is "bacterial SSU rRNA". It matches the Rfam family "Bacterial small subunit ribosomal RNA", at positions 1 to 580 of the family's 1533-position model. The record is from RNAcentral. Lineage: Bacteria; Pseudomonadati; Pseudomonadota; Betaproteobacteria; Burkholderiales; Burkholderiaceae.